ACUACAGACCAGUUUGGGGAGAAACAUGGAGGCCUGCUGGAGGACGGGGAGGUGGAGCAGUUGAGUUCAUAUCGCCUCCACACAUGUAGCACUGAAGCCCAGGUCACCUCCUCCUCCUCCAUCGCUGAACCCAGAAGGCCGGUCUCCUGCAGUCAAAAGACUCUUGGCUUUUUCUCUUUUCUCCUUUUCAGUCUCAUCUCUGAACUUUGGUGUACUCCUGAGUGUGAAAAAACAUGCAGAGGUCUAUCUGAUGGUUUAUAGCUGAAGAGAGGACUGUCAGACUUCAGUGUUUACCUCACCCACCAUUUACUCUUGUUUUUGGUUCGGAUUUCAGUUUUUAAAAAAAAAAUCAUUUUCUCAUUUAAAGCUCUAUCUCCUCUUACGCCUGUGUAGCACUCACAAUUUUAGUCUUCUUUGCCUUGAAUUGAUUUACUGUUCAGUUAUAAAGAGCUUAACUUGCCAUCUGACUCUUUCUUAGAGUUUAUAAGCUUCAAUCCAUCCUUCACAACACCCAGUUACCAUGACAACAGAUGAGCUCAACAAGGAGAUGAACCCAUUUAAAGAAAACACUUGGACUAGCUAUCAAGCAUGGCAGAGGAGAGCUGAUGAUGUGGGCUGCUUUUGCAGACCUGGACACCCCAAACUCAGUCAGAGUGGAGCAUAAAACAACAGUGAGAUCACUGUGUGCACAUGUGUGAGUCAGGCAUAGUGUGUGUGGGUCUGCAUAAACUUGUUUGAAGGUGUCUGUUAUUUGAGAGUGUAUUUGUU
This is a non-coding RNA of Oryzias latipes (Japanese medaka), 768 nucleotides long. Lineage: Eukaryota; Metazoa; Chordata; Actinopteri; Beloniformes; Adrianichthyidae. The record is from RefSeq and is a predicted model, not a curated record.